UACGAAGGGGGCUAGCGUUGCUCGGAAUCACUGGGCGUAAAGGGUGCGUAGGAGGGCAGGUAAGUCAGUGGUGAAAUCUCCAAGCUUAACUUGGAAACUGCCGUUGAUACUAUCUGUCUUGAAUAUUGUGGAGGUGAGCGGAAUAUGUCAUGUAGCGGUGAAAUGCUUAGAUAUGACAUAGAACACCAAUUGCGAAGGCAGCUCACUACUCAAUCAUUGACUCUGAGGCACGAAAGCGUGGGGAUCAAACAGG
RNAcentral lists this ribosomal RNA (253 nucleotides) under uncultured bacterium. RNAcentral's name for it is "partial 16S ribosomal RNA". It matches the Rfam family "Bacterial small subunit ribosomal RNA", at positions 524 to 776 of the family's 1533-position model. The record is from RNAcentral.